AGUAUAGUAAGCUAAAUAAAGCUAUUGGGCCCAUACCCCAAACAUGUUGGUUAGAAUCCUUCCUGUAUUA
Molecule: transfer RNA, 70 nt
Filed under: Datnioides campbelli
Lineage: Eukaryota; Metazoa; Chordata; Actinopteri; Lobotiformes; Datnioididae
Description: tRNA-Met
Rfam family: tRNA
About the family: Transfer RNA (tRNA) molecules are approximately 80 nucleotides in length.
Source: RNAcentral